Long non-coding RNA from Homo sapiens (human), 846 nucleotides. RefSeq lists it as uncharacterized. Lineage: Eukaryota; Metazoa; Chordata; Mammalia; Primates; Hominidae. The transcript is spliced from 4 exons. The record is from RefSeq and is a predicted model, not a curated record.
UUUAGCACCCCGACCACCCUAACAUCUUGCACUGUCUGGGGGCUCCCCGGGCUCAGCAACACCCACCUCUGUGGCUGGGAGCUGGGCUCAGCCACAUCCCUGCAACUUCUCCGGGACACCGCCAUCCAGCUACGCCAAGGCCUGACGGCGGCUCCAUGUUUCCUGCCAAUGGCGGUGCUAUUAAUUUGUCAAACGCUCAGAGCCAUAUGUGGCUCGAGGCUGCCAUGUUGCACAGUGCAAAUCCACAGAGCGUUUCAUCCAAUGGUAUUGCCCUUGAAGGUGGGCAUUCCACAGCCCGCGGCCCUGACGAGGGAAAUGCACAGAGCCUCCUCCUGACCCGCAGCGCACAUGUGAGGAUUCCAAAUAAAGUUGCAGACUCCAUGUUCUUAGGGGAAGAGAGCGUAACUCCCGCUGCUUAAGUGAAGCCCAUGCAUAGUGACUUUGCUCCAGUGAGUCUGGAAAGCGGGACAAGGGAGUAACUUUCCUGUGGAGAAACCUGGCAGAGGCCACGACCGCCAGAUCAUCAGAAAAACCCCAACUGAGAGAAAUUCUACAGCAUGCCUGACCAUUACUCUUCAAAACUAUCCCAGUCAUCGAAAACAAGGAAAAUCUGAGAAACUGCCAGCAGAGGGGGGUCCAGGGAGAUGUGACAGCUGCAUGCACAGCGGCGUCCCGGAUGGGGUCCUGGAACAGAAAGAUAACAUCAGGUUAGCAACUAAGGAAUCCCAAAUAGGCUAUGGACAUUAGUCAAUGAUUACUAUUACGCAAACAUAUGAUCAUUAUGUCAAGAUAGGGAACAAAUUUCCCAUCUUGUCAAAUAAUUUAUUGAGCAUAUUUAUCAAUUGU